Molecule: non-coding RNA, 30 nt
Filed under: Homo sapiens (human)
Lineage: Eukaryota; Metazoa; Chordata; Mammalia; Primates; Hominidae
Source: RNAcentral
GGGGCUGGAGACCGGCCCGGCCAACACAGC